This 460-nucleotide ribosomal RNA is filed under the name uncultured bacterium. RNAcentral describes it as "partial 16S ribosomal RNA". It matches the Rfam family "Bacterial small subunit ribosomal RNA", at positions 338 to 795 of the family's 1533-position model. The record is from RNAcentral.
CCUACGGGUGGCAGCAGUGAGGAAUAUUGGUCAAUGGGCGCGAGCCUGAACCAGCCAAGCCGCGUGAAGGAUGACUGCCCUACGGGUUGUAAACUUCUUUUAUAAAGGAAUAAAGUGAGGCACGUGUGCCUUUUUGUAUGUACUUUAUGCAUAAGGAUCGGCUAACCACGUUCCAGCAGCAGCGGUAAUACGGAGGUUCCGAGCGUUAUCCGGAUUUAUUGGGUUUAAAGGGAGCGUAGAUGGGUUGUUAAGUCAGUUGUGAAAGUGUGCGGCUCAACCGUAAAAUUGCAAUUGAUACUGGCAGUCUUGAGUACAGAUGAGGUAGGCGGAAUUCGUGGUGUAGCGGUGAAAUGCGUAGAUAUAACGAAGAACUCCGAUGGCGAAGGCAGCGUACUAAGAUGCCACUGACAUUGAUGCUCGAAAGUGUGGGUAGCAAACAGGAUUAGAUACCCCGGUAGUC